GGUUUCGUGGUGUAGCUGGUUUAUCACAUAAUCUUAACACGGUUAUGGUCCCCGGUUCGAGCCCGGGCGAAAUCA
RNAcentral lists this transfer RNA (75 nucleotides) under Tremella mesenterica DSM 1558. RNAcentral describes it as "tRNA-Val (AAC) (tRNA-Val-AAC-1-1)". Lineage: Eukaryota; Fungi; Basidiomycota; Tremellomycetes; Tremellales; Tremellaceae. The record is from RNAcentral.